GGAGUGGGCGGGACGCCAGGCAGGCGGGGGACGCGGCGGCUGCCAGCCAAGGGGCCGGAGCCAAGAGAUUUGCAUUGGAAGCGCCAUCCUCUUGCGCGUCUGAUGAGGAAGCAGAACCCGGUGACCGACUGAGCUGCAUUUCUGAAGCAUUUGCUGGGUUUUGCCUCGCUAAGCCUCGGGGAGCACUGGGGCGCGGGAUGGGGGACCCUGUCACGGAGCCGACAUCUGCUCGCGCGCCUCUCCCCCGCUCACGCCGUGCCGCGGGCUCGCCCUCCCCAUCUGCAGCGCCUGCCCGCCCCGCCCAUCCUUCCUCCUGGGCAACCCAGAGGAUGGCGUGAGGACUCCUGGAAGCCCAGAGGACCGGACCAGGGGCGUGGUGGGGAGCCGUAGACCCGAGUUUUUAUCCUUCUCUGGCGCCGACACUCGGCUGCGGAAUCGAGUUUGAGCUCGGUGUAGCUGAAGUUUACAUUGUAGCUGUUUGAAAGGUAGACCCCACCUCACCCCCACCCCUGGACCAAGACCUCUGGAAGCGUCCUGCCUGGAAGCCGCUUGUGGGGAGGGCUCUCCUAGGGUCUCCAGGCUCCCGCUGGAGCACACCUGGAGAUGCCUUGGGAGUCUGAGGAACCCCAGAUUCAGCACCCCUGCUUAACCUGCUUUUAAGAAGAAAAAAAUGGAACUUGAUAAACUUCACUCAAAGGAGAGACCCACUAAUAACUCCACACACCUCACACCGAGUGAAGAUGAAUUUCACUCUGUUGCCCAGGCUGGAGUGCAGUGGCACGGUCUCGGCUCAGGGCAACCUCCACCUCCCAGGUUCAAGUGAUUCUCCUGCUUCAGCCUCCCGAGUAGCUGGGAUUACAGGCAUGUGUCACACCCAGACGCUGAGACAAUGUAUGUGUGCUCCCGGAAUGACUGGAUGAAACAAAAAGAGAGUCUGGAUGCCAUUAAAAUGUUUGACUAUUGGAUUCCCACGGUUUGGGAUGGGAAGCAGAACUCGGUGAAACUGUAGGUUCUGUGUUCAGGCCAAGCGUUGCUGAAAGGUGGAAGAAUUCAUGGAAAGAAGGUUAUACCAGAAACCAAGAUCUGCUUUUUAAAAGGGAACAUGUACGCUCAUCUUUUGGCUUGAAUUCACUGCCUUUCACUUAUGUGUGGUCCCUCCUGUGCCGAGUCAGCAUGGAGUUCAGCAGGUGGUGGAAGACAAACAGCUCAGAGCUGGACUCAGAACUUGGCAGAGUCCUGCUUUCAACUACAUGCAGCCAGAAAACUCUGGAAAACUGAACUGUUUAUUAGGGUCAAACUUUGGUAAGUCCGAUAAAGUCUGGCUCCAGGUGUCAAUCUAGUCUCUUGAAAGAAUCGCCCAGAAGCUCACUGCUGACUGGCUGGAUGUUACCAGUGGCAUACAGCCUCUGCUUGUGGGUGGAAUCCGGCAGCUCGGACACCGCCCCACGGUUCCUGAUGCAAGCCUGGGCAGGAGCUAGAGCUAGGGGCUUGCAGCCAAGGAGGAGAUAAGCCCAGGGGAGCCCUGCAGGCUAUCAAACCAUCUGCCAGCUGGACUCGCUCCAGGCCACUGGUGACCCUUGCCAUGACACCGGACACCAGUAGCAAGAAAGCCUGCAAUCCAGUAUGCUUCUCUUUUCCUUUCUACAGGACUCCUAGAGUGGAGCUAGCUCCCGUCCUUCCAAAUGCAGCAAUGACAUUAAGGACAUUUGUUCACAUGGUUCACAGUUGGUGUUGGGAAGUUGUCCUACCUGGACAUUGCUGUCAGAGCCAUGGACUAAAAUACUCAAUUCUGGCCUAAAUAAAGCAAGCUCUCGGUGUUAAAGACUUUUUUUUUUUUUUUUUUUUUUUUUUUUGAGAUGGAGUCUUGCUCUGUUGCCCGGGCUGGAAUGUAAUGGUGUGAUCUCAGCUUACUGCAACCUCCACCUCCCAGGUUCAAGCAAUUCUCCUGCCUCAGCCUCCUGAGUAGCUGGGAUUACAGGUGCACGCCACCAUACCUGCUAAUUUUUGUAUUAUUAGCAGAGGCGGGGUUUCACCAUGUUGGCCAGGCUGGUCUCCAACUCCUGGCUUCAAGUGAUCCACCCGCCUCAGCCUCCCAAAGUGCUGGGAUUACAGGCGUGAGCCACAGUGCCUGGCCUUUUUGAGGAUUAUUAUAAGUAAAAGAAAAUUCAGACCACGAACAUAGCAUUCCUUUAGGUGUUUUGCAUAGAUAUAGUUUUUUGCUUUACUGUGGGUCCACUGGGAAAAGGUUUGUGGAAAUCUGAGCAGCUGAUGUUUGUGCGCUCAGAUUCUUUGGGACCUAUCUAUAAGACUUGGCGAGGCAAUACGGCUUCCACCAUUUCCCCAGGGAAAAAGUUACUCAAGGUUACUGAACUCAUGAAACCAUGUGGAUUUCCAGCAUGUGUUAUUAUAAUCUCACUAACCUUCCGAUUUUAAAACGCUGUAACUCUGUAAUUUUUUUCUGUGGUCAGCCCUUCCCAAAGGUAUCCACCUUCCAGUUUGUCCUGUGGAGCACGCUCUUGGCAGAGUUUGGCAUUGUUUGUUAUCAGGGGGUUUGAUUUAUGUAAAAUUGCAUUAAAUCACUAAUAAGG
Molecule: RNA transcript, 2588 nt
Organism: Pan troglodytes (chimpanzee)
Lineage: Eukaryota; Metazoa; Chordata; Mammalia; Primates; Hominidae
Exons: 6
Source: RefSeq, a predicted model, not a curated record